AACGUACGCUGGCGGCACGCCUAACACAUGCAAGUCGAGCGAGGUAGCAAUACCUAGCGGCAGACGGGUGCGUAACAUGUGGGAAUCUGCCUUUUGGUUCGGAACAACACGGGGAAACCUGUGCUAAUACCGGAUAAGUCCUUACGGAGAAAGUUUUAAUGCCAAAAGAUGAGCCCGCAUUUGAUUAGCUAGUUGGUGAGGUAAAAGCUCACCAAGGCGAUAAUCAAUAGCUGAUUUGAGAGGAUGAUCAGCCACACUGGGACUGAGAUACGGCCCAGACUCCUACGGGAGGCAGCAGUGGGGAAUCUUGCACAAUGGGCGAAAGCCUGAUGCAGCGAUGCCGCGUGAGUGAAGAAGGCCUUUGGGUUGUAAAGCUCUUUUGUCGGGAAAGAUAAUGACUGUACCCGAAGAAUAAGGUCCGGCUAACUUCGUGCCAGCAGCCGCGGUAAUACGAAGGGACCUAGCGUAGUUCGGAAUUACUGGGCGUAAAGAGUAUGUAGGCGGCUAGAUAAGUUAAUUGUGAAAGCCCAAAGCUUAACUUUGGAAUUGCAAUUAAAACUAUUUAGCUGGAGUAUGAUAGAGGAAAGCGGAAUACAUAGUGUAGAGGUGAAAUUCGUAGAUAUUAUGUAGAACACCAGUUGCGAAGGCGGCUUUCUGGAUCAUUACUGACGCUGAGAUACGAAAGUAUGGGUAGCGAAGAGGAUUAGAUACCCUCGUAGUCCAUACCAUAAACGAUGAUUAUUAGAUGUGGGGAAUUAUUUCUCUGUAUCAUAGCUAACGCGUUAAAUAAUCCGCCUGGGGAGUACGACCGCAAGGUUAAAACUCAAAUGAAUUGACGGGGACCCGCACAAGCGGUGGAGCAUGUGGUUUAAUUCGAAGCAACGCGCAGAACCUUACCAACCCUUGACAUGUUCGUCGCGAGACUAAGAAAUUAGUCU
RNAcentral lists this ribosomal RNA (938 nucleotides) under uncultured bacterium. Its description in RNAcentral is "bacterial SSU rRNA". It matches the Rfam family "Bacterial small subunit ribosomal RNA", at positions 28 to 1013 of the family's 1533-position model. The record is from RNAcentral.